GUAGGGAAUAUUGGGCAAUGGAUGCAAGUCUGACCCAGCCAUCCCGCGUGCCGGAAGAAGGCCCUCAGGGUUGUAAACGGCUUUUGACGGUGAAGAAUCGACAGGAUGCGUCCUGUUUUGACGGUAGCCGUUGAAUAAGCACCGGCUAACUCCGUGCCAGCAGCCGCGGUAAUACGGAGGGUGCGAGCGUUGUCCGGAUGUAUUGGGUUUAAAGGGUGCGUAGGCUGGAAGGUCAGUCAGCGGUGAAAAGCUGUCGCUUAACGAUAGUCUUGCCGCAGAUACUUCCGUUCUUGGAUGAGGAGGAGGCCACUGGAACGGAUGGUGUAGCGGUGAAAUGCAUAGAUAUCAUCCAGAACACCGAUUGCGAAGGCAGGUGGCUGUACCUUAAUCGACGCUGAUGCACGAAAGCAUGGGGAGCAAACAGGAUUAGAAACCCUAGUAGUCC
Molecule: ribosomal RNA, 445 nt
Filed under: uncultured bacterium
Lineage: Bacteria
Description: partial 16S ribosomal RNA
Rfam family: Bacterial small subunit ribosomal RNA
Source: RNAcentral